CGGGAUGUAACUCAGUUUGGUAGAGUGCUGCUUUUGGGAAGCAGAUGUCGCAGGUUCAAAUCCUGUCAUCCCGA
Molecule: transfer RNA, 74 nt
Filed under: Chlorokybus atmophyticus
Lineage: Eukaryota; Viridiplantae; Streptophyta; Chlorokybophyceae; Chlorokybales; Chlorokybaceae
Description: tRNA-Pro
Rfam family: tRNA
About the family: Transfer RNA (tRNA) molecules are approximately 80 nucleotides in length. Their secondary structure includes four short double-helical elements and three loops (D, anti-codon, and T loops).
Source: RNAcentral